Molecule: long non-coding RNA, 608 nt
Organism: Homo sapiens (human)
Lineage: Eukaryota; Metazoa; Chordata; Mammalia; Primates; Hominidae
Exons: 2
Source: RefSeq, a predicted model, not a curated record
CCUCCUGCCAGGUAUUGCAGGGAGGCCCCGGAAGGUGUCACCUGUGCACUCAGGCAUCAGCCCUGCCGCAGCUUCCCUCUGCUGCCUCAGGCUGCCAACUGCUGCUGCCUGAAUGCCCUUCUGGCUGCUGCUCCCUGAAGCACCCUGGCCUCUGCAGUGCCAGUCAUCAGUCACCUCUACUGCUCCUGCCCACUGCUGCUAGGGACCUGCGGAUGGACAGCGAGUGGCUGCAGCAUCAUCACUCUCUAUCCUCAAGAGUCCCUGGCGGCUGCAGUCUAGCAUGAAAGCAGAUGGAAGACAUCACCCUCUUGCCUGCAUUAGCCUGAUCGGGGGUCCUCUGCAAAUGGCUGAGCCCCAAGCCCCUGAGUUGCAGGUUUAGCGCUUGGAGCCAUGGCUGGGCGAAAGGCGCCCUCUAGUGGCUAUCUUCUACAAGGCCGCCGGAGGGGCGGGAGAGACCGUGUCCCCACCUGGACAAAGAGAAGCCUCAUCCUCACCUGCUUUUGGAGACACUGGGUCAGGAAGGUCAAAGGAAGUGGCUUCCAAGAGAACUGUGUGUCUCCAGUUGACUUUUCCAAGUUGUCAAUAAAAAUUGUGAAUUCUUGUUUCAA